AUUGAACGCUGGCGGCAGGCCUAACACAUGCAAGUCGAGCGGAUGAAGGGAGCUUGCUCCUGGAUUCAGCGGCGGACGGGUGAGUAAUGCCUAGGAAUCUGCCUGGUAGUGGGGGAUAACGUCCGGAAACGGGCGCUAAUACCGCAUACGUCCUGAGGGAGAAAGUGGGGGAUCUUCGGACCUCACGCUAUCAGAUGAGCCUAGGUCGGAUUAGCUAGUUGGUGGGGUAAAGGCCUACCAAGGCGACGAUCCGUAACUGGUCUGAGAGGAUGAUCAGUCACACUGGAACUGAGACACGGUCCAGACUCCUACGGGAGGCAGCAGUGGGGAAUAUUGGACAAUGGGCGAAAGCCUGAUCCAGCCAUGCCGCGUGUGUGAGGAAGGUCUUCGGAUUGUAAGGCACUUUAAGUUGGGAGGAAGGGCAGUAAGUUAAUACCUUGCUGUUUUGACGUUACCAACAGAAUAAGCACCGGCUAACUUCGUG
RNAcentral lists this ribosomal RNA (484 nucleotides) under uncultured bacterium. RNAcentral's name for it is "partial 16S ribosomal RNA". It matches the Rfam family "Bacterial small subunit ribosomal RNA", at positions 30 to 507 of the family's 1533-position model. The record is from RNAcentral.